Acanthosepion pharaonis is the source of this 113-nucleotide non-coding RNA. The record is from the annotation of a GenBank genome assembly. Lineage: Eukaryota; Metazoa; Mollusca; Cephalopoda; Sepiida; Sepiidae.
UAUGGCCAUAAUACGUGGAAACACUGGUCUUGUCCAAUCACUGAAGUUAAGCAACAUCAAGCCUGGUCAGUACCUAGAUGGGUGACCUCUUGGGAAUACCUGGUGCUGUAAGC